UACGUAGGUGGCGAACGUUACGCGGAUUUACUGGGCGUAAAGCGUCUGUAGGCGGCUUCGCAAGUGGGGGGUGAAAGCUCCGGGCUUAACCCGGAGACGCCGUCCCAUACUGCGGAACUCGAGGGAGGCAGAGGAAGGCGGAAGUCCUGGUGUAGCGGUGAAAUGCGUAGAUAUCAGGAGGAACACCCGUGGCGAAGGCGGCUGUCUAGCGCUGUCCUGACGCUGAGGGGCGAAAGCUAGGGGAGCAAACAGG
RNAcentral lists this ribosomal RNA (253 nucleotides) under uncultured bacterium. RNAcentral's name for it is "partial 16S ribosomal RNA". It matches the Rfam family "Bacterial small subunit ribosomal RNA", at positions 524 to 776 of the family's 1533-position model. The record is from RNAcentral.